RNAcentral lists this ribosomal RNA (406 nucleotides) under uncultured bacterium. Its description in RNAcentral is "partial 16S ribosomal RNA". It matches the Rfam family "Bacterial small subunit ribosomal RNA", at positions 29 to 526 of the family's 1533-position model. The record is from RNAcentral.
AUUGAACGCUGGCGGCAGGCCUAACACAUGCAAGUCGAGCGAGCGGCGGACGGGUGAGAAAUGUCUGGGAAACUGCCUGAUGGAGGGGGAUAACUACUGGAAACGGUAGCUAAUACCGCAUACCAUCAGAUGUGCCCAGAUGGGAUUAGCUAGUAGGUGGGGUAACGGCUCACCUAGGCGACGAGCCCUAGCGGGUCUGAGAGGAUGACCAGCCACACGGGAACUGAGACACGGGCAAGACUCCUACGGGAGGCAGCAGUGGGGAAUAUUGCACAAUGGGCGCAAGCCUGAUGCAGCCAUGCCGCGUGUGUGAAGAAGGCCUUCGGGUUGUAAAGCACUUUCAGCGGGGAGGCGUUACCCGCAGAAGAAGCACCGGCUAACUCCGUGCCAGCCGCCGCGGUAAUUC